CAGGCCUAACACAUGCAAGUCGAGCGGAUGAAGGUAGCUUGCUACUGGAUUCAGCGGCGGACGGGUGAGUAAUGCUUAGGAAUCUGCCUAUUAGUGGGGGACAACGUUCCGAAAGGGGCGCUAAUACCGCAUACGUCCUACGGGAGAAAGCAGGGGACCUUCGGGCCUUGCGCUAAUAGAUGAGCCUAAGUCGGAUUAGCUAGUUGGUAGGGUAAAGGCCUACCAAGGCGACGAUCUGUAGCGGGUCUGAGAGGAUGAUCCGCCACACUGGGACUGAGACACGGCCCAGACUCCUACGGGAGGCAGCAGUGGGGAAUAUUGGACAAUGGGGGGAACCCUGAUCCAGCCAUGCCGCGUGUGUGAAGAAGGCCUUUUGGUUGUAAAGCACUUUAAGCGAGGAGGAGGCUACCUAGAUUAAUACUUUAGGAUAGUGGACGUUACUCGCAGAAUAAGCACCGGCUAACUCUGUGCCAGCAGCCGCGGUAAU
This 487-nucleotide ribosomal RNA is filed under the name uncultured bacterium. RNAcentral's name for it is "bacterial SSU rRNA". It matches the Rfam family "Bacterial small subunit ribosomal RNA", at positions 43 to 524 of the family's 1533-position model. The record is from RNAcentral.